CCUACGGGUGGCAGCAGUGGGGAAUAUUGGACAAUGGGCGAAAGCCUGAUCCAGCCAUGCCGCGUGUGUGAAGAAGGCCUUCGGGUUGUAAAGCACUUUCAGUGGGGAAGAAAGCCUUGGGGCUAAUACCCUCGAGGAAGGACAUCACCCACAGAAGAAGCACCGGCUAACUCCGUGCCAGCAGCCGCGGUAAUACGGAGGGUGCGAGCGUUAAUCGGAAUUACUGGGCGUAAAGCGCGCGUAGGCGGUCUGAUAAGCCGGUUGUGAAAGCCCCGGGCUCAACCUGGGAACGGCAUCCGGAACUGUCAGGCUAGAGUGCAGGAGAGGAAGGUAGAAUUCCCGGUGUAGCGGUGAAAUGCGUAGAGAUCGGGAGGAAUACCAGUGGCGAAGGCGGCCUUCUGGACUGACACUGACGCUGAGGUGCGAAAGCGUGGGUAGCAAACAGGAUUAGAUACCCCAGUAGUC
Molecule: ribosomal RNA, 465 nt
Filed under: Vreelandella stevensii
Lineage: Bacteria; Pseudomonadati; Pseudomonadota; Gammaproteobacteria; Oceanospirillales; Halomonadaceae
Description: partial 16S ribosomal RNA
Rfam family: Bacterial small subunit ribosomal RNA
Source: RNAcentral